ACCUUCGUAGCGUAAUGGUCAACACGCUCGACGCAAAAUUCGAGAGGUUCGUGGUUAGAGUCCUGGCGAGGGCA
RNAcentral lists this transfer RNA (74 nucleotides) under Stegodyphus mimosarum. It matches the Rfam family "tRNA". From Rfam's summary of the family: Transfer RNA (tRNA) molecules are approximately 80 nucleotides in length. Their secondary structure includes four short double-helical elements and three loops (D, anti-codon, and T loops). Lineage: Eukaryota; Metazoa; Arthropoda; Arachnida; Araneae; Eresidae. The record is from Rfam by way of RNAcentral.